CUUUGGGAGAAGUCAGGA
Molecule: unclassified non-coding RNA, 18 nt
Filed under: Mus musculus (house mouse)
Lineage: Eukaryota; Metazoa; Chordata; Mammalia; Rodentia; Muridae
Description: oocyte_clustered_small_RNA14051
Source: RNAcentral